RNAcentral lists this long non-coding RNA (1007 nucleotides) under Scleropages formosus (Asian bonytongue). Its description in RNAcentral is "lncRNA (ENSSFOG00015031609.1)". Lineage: Eukaryota; Metazoa; Chordata; Actinopteri; Osteoglossiformes; Osteoglossidae. The record is from RNAcentral.
CAGACAUUUAGCUAUCGAGUGCUUAUAAUGUUAUAUAUACAGUAUAAGUUAUAACAGUAUCGCCUGAAUGUUGUAACGCUUGUAAGUUUCAUUCGGUAAUUUCAGUUUAUUUUGUAUUCUGACGACAGGAGUGACAGUGACCGCCAUUAAGAGCCCUUCAGUAAAUUUGUUACGAAAUAAGCCAGUCACACAGUAGCGCUCUGUGAACAUUUGCAGGGUCACGUUAGCUGGCCGGGUGGCUGCAGCAUAGCUGCACAGCCAGCGAGCGACAUAACCGAUGGUGAAGCCCGCCUCGCUAGUACUACGGGCAAAGAUUCAUGAUUUUUGCCAGCGCGGGACCGCUUUUGUGAGGAGGAUUGAAGAGCGAGUGAGAGAUGUGAAUGGAAGCGGGAACGCGAAUGUCCCUCCCUCUCCCUGCUCCCCUGUCACUCACUGCUCAGUCCAUCAGCCCGGGUUCGCUUACACAUCUCCGAACCCGCAGUCACUGCAAGACAAGACUGUAGAAACAAGCAGAAGGAAAAUUCCAGUCAUCACAUCUUGUCAUCUCAUCUGUGAAGAAGCCCAACAGAAGCAAGGAAAAUAGUACACAGAGGAACACGCUGAAAUUACAGAAAGUGUAAAGUGCUGGACAGUAUUGUUUUUUUUUUUUUUUUUUUUUCUGUACCAUUAUUUCACACAAAUUAAAGACUGCUUUAUCUUCAAGGAGUACAAAUUAAACUUUUAUUCCAGUUAUGGAUAUCAGUUGAAUGGGAGAAAGACUUUCUAAGUUACUGCCAAAACUACAGCUUUGUAAGAAACAUUACAUGUAAGCCAGCCGUUUCAGAAGCUAACCACCUCACCUUAACACAAGAAGUUUAACAUGGGCAUCACGUCAACAGCAUUUGUUUAAGAAUACUUACCUGUACAAAACAAAUAUUUUAUGUGAUACUGACCUGUGACAUAACCAUGUGAAUUACACCAUGGAGAACUGAAAUAAAAGGGAUAUCCGGCAAAUUGAAGGAAGGAAA